GAUGAACGCUGGCGGCGUGCCUAAUACAUGCCAGUCGAGCGAACGGACGAGAAGCUUGCUUCUCUGAUGUUGGCGGCGGACGGGUGAGUAACACGUGGAUAACCUACCUAUAAGACUGGGAUAACUUCGGGAAACCGGAGCUAAUACCGGAUAAUAUUUUGAACCGCAUGAUUCAAAAGUGAAAGACGGUCUUGCUGUCACUUAUAGAUGGAUCCGCGCUGCAUUAGCUAGUUGGUAAGGUAACGGCUUACCAAGGCAACGAUGCAUAGCCGACCUGAGAGGGUGAUCGGCCACACUGGAACUGAGACACGGUCCAGACUCCUACGGGAGGCAGCAGUAGGGAAUCUUCCGCAAUGGGCGAAAGCCUGACGGAGCAACGCCGCGUGAGUGAUGAAGGUCUUCGGAUCGUAAAACUCUGUUAUUAGGGAAGAACAUAUGUGUAAGUAACUGUGCACAUCUUGACGGUACCUAAUCAGAAAGCCACGGCUAACUACGUG
Molecule: ribosomal RNA, 497 nt
Filed under: uncultured bacterium
Lineage: Bacteria
Description: partial 16S ribosomal RNA
Rfam family: Bacterial small subunit ribosomal RNA
Source: RNAcentral